Molecule: ribosomal RNA, 1431 nt
Filed under: Chiropterotriton orculus
Lineage: Eukaryota; Metazoa; Chordata; Amphibia; Caudata; Plethodontidae
Description: partial large subunit ribosomal RNA
Rfam family: Bacterial large subunit ribosomal RNA
Source: RNAcentral
AGAAGAGGAAAGUCGUAACAUGGUAAGUCUACCGGAAGGUGGUCUUGGAAUCAGAAUAUAGCUUAAUAAAAGCAUUUUGCUUACACCAAAAAAAUAUCGUCCAGAUUGUUCUGAUACUAUAAAUCUAGCCUAAUAGCAUAUUAUUUUUUUCUAUUCCACAAAUCAUUUAAGCAUAUUAGUAUGAGUGACAGAAAAUAUAUUAGCGCAAUAAGUAUAGUACUGCAAAGGAAAGAUGAAAUAGAAGUUAAAUAAAUAAUAAAAGUAUUAUAAAGCAAAGAUUAAUACUUAUACCUUUUGCAUAAUGGUCUAGCAAGUUUAAUUCAACAAAAAUAUUUAUGUUGAGACCCCCGAAACCAAACGAGCUACCUUAUGGCAAAUUUAAUGUCUAUCUCUGUGGCAAAAGAAAAAGAAAGACUCAUAGGUAGAGGCGAAAAACCAAACGAGUUUGGAGAUAGCUGGUUACUUGGGAAUGAAUUAAGUUCAACUAAAAGCAAAAUCACCAUUAAGGGUACAUAAUGCUUUUAAUAUAAUAAAUUAGGGUACAGCCUAUUUUAUAAAGGAAACAGCCUAUAAAAAUGGAUAAAGACAUAAAAUUACAACAAAGUAGGCCUAAAAGCAGCCAUCAUAGAUAGCGUCACAGCUUAAUUGUAAAAAUUAAAUUAUUUUAAUAAAUUAUCUAAAUCCAUUUAAACAACCAAGUUAAUCUAUUUAUAGAUAAACUACUACUAGAAUAAGUAAUAAGGAUAACCUCUUAAUACAUAUGUAAAUCAGAACGAACUAUCACUGAUAAUUAACGAAAACAUUUACUUUAACUAGAAUUUAAAUUUCUUAAGCCGUUUACCCAACACAGGUGUAUAAAAGAAAGACUCAAAGCUUAAGAAGGAACUCGGCAAACCCAGGCUUCGCCUGUUUACCAAAAACAUCGCCUUUUGACAAAUAAAUAUGAAAGGUCCUGCCUGCCCAGUGAUAAUUAUUCAACGGCCGCGGUAUUAUGACCGUGCAAAGGUAGCAUAAUCACUUGUCUUUUAAAUCAAGACCAGCAUGAACGGCAAAACGAAAGCCUAACUGUCUCCUUAAGUUAGUCAAUGAAAUUGAUCUUUUCGUGCAGAAGCGAGAAUAUAAAUAUAAGACGAGAAGACCCUGUGGAGCUUUAAAAUAAUAUUAUAUAAAUAUCUUAUAAUAAUAUAAAUUUUUAGGUUGGGGCGACCAUGAGGUAAAGUAAAACCCUCAAGAAAAUAAUUAGAAGGACACUUCAAACUAAAUAUAAUAUUUAUAUAUGACCCAAUAAUGAUCAACGAACCAAGUUACCCCAGGGAUAACAGCGCAAUCCAUUCCCAAAGUUCAUAUCGACGGAUGGGUUUACGACCUCGAUGUUGGAUCAGGACAUCCUAAUGGUGCAACAACUAUUAAAGGUUCGUUGUCAACGAUAAA